RNAcentral lists this ribosomal RNA (406 nucleotides) under uncultured bacterium. RNAcentral's name for it is "partial 16S ribosomal RNA". It matches the Rfam family "Bacterial small subunit ribosomal RNA", at positions 30 to 526 of the family's 1533-position model. The record is from RNAcentral.
AUUGAACGCUGGCGGCAGGCCUAACACAUGCAAGUCGAACGAGUGGCGGACGGGUGAGUAAUGUCUGGGAAACUGCCCGAUGGAGGGGGAUAACUACUGGAAACGGUAGCUAAUACCGCAUACCAUCGGAUGUGCCCAGAUGGGAUUAGCUAGGCGGUGGGGUAACGGCUCACCUAGGCGACGAUCCCUUGCUGGUCUGAGAGGAUGAUCAGCCACACUGGAACGGAGACACGGCCCAGACUCCUACGGGAGGCAGCAGUGGGGAAUAUUGCACAAUGGGCGCAAGCCUGAUGCAGCCAUGCCGCGUGUAUGAAGAAGGCCCUCGGGUUGUAAAGUACUUUCAGCGAGGAGGCGUUACCCGCAGAAGAAGCACCGGCUAACUCCGUGCCAGCAGCCGCGGUAAUAC